AUUGAACGCUGGCGGCAUGCCUUACACAUGCAAGUCGAACGGUAACAGGUCUUCGGAUGCUGACGAGUGGCGAACGGGUGAGUAAUACAUCGGAACGUGCCCAGUAGUGGGGAUAACUACUCGAAAGAGUGGCUAAUACCGCAUGAGAUCUACGGAUGAAAGCAGGGGAUCGCAAGACCUUGUGCUACUAGAGCGGCCGAUGGCAGAUUAGGUAGUUGGUGGGAUAAAAGCUUACCAAGCCGACGAUCUGUAGCUGGUCUGAGAGGACGAUCAGCCACACUGGGACUGAGACACGGCCCAGACUCCUACGGGAGGCAGCAGUGGGGAAUUUUGGACAAUGGGCGAAAGCCUGAUCCAGCAAUGCCGCGUGCAGGAUGAAGGCCUUCGGGUUGUAAACUGCUUUUGUACGGAACGAAAAGCCCCGGGUUAAUACCCUGGGGUCAUGACGGUACCGUAAGAAUAAGCACCGGCUAACUACGUGCCAGCCGCCGCGGUAA
Molecule: ribosomal RNA, 497 nt
Filed under: uncultured bacterium
Lineage: Bacteria
Description: partial 16S ribosomal RNA
Rfam family: Bacterial small subunit ribosomal RNA
Source: RNAcentral